GGGAACAGAGCUAGGGUUCUUGAGGUGCGAUUGGCGAUUGCCGAUGACGCAACCGACGUCGCCGGUGCAAUCCUCCAUGGCUUCGCUUUCCGCUGAUUCAUCUUCUUCUCGCAGCGGUGGGCUUCGAAGGAGAGGCGGGGCCGCAAGGUUUCCUGUACCUUAUUUGGAGCAAGCGAUGGAUUACCAGCCGACGGUGAACUGCGCUCGCUUCGGUAGGAAGGCGCCGCGGUGGAUAUCUUGGAGUCCGGCGAACUUGGCAGGACAUAUUAUGCGUGCGUAGUUUCUCAGGAGAUCUACGAGACGAAGUGUAGAUGCUGGAAGAUGAGAUUGCUGGAUAGUCAAGGGAAGGAGAGGUUGUUGUUCGGAGAUAGGAACUACAGAAGAAAAAUGCAUUAGUUCCAGAAAAGAGAGCUAGAUGUCACAGGAAAGAUGAGAUGCAGAUGUACAAGUAUAUGUUUUUAUUGCAUGGUGGUCUUUGUUGCUGGUUUAGUUGGAGGCUUCAUUUUAUUUCAGUAGUUCAUGUGUCGGGACAAAUUAGUGGUCUCUGGUGAUGUACUUGUUUGGUAUUGCAAUUAAAUGGAAAUGAUCAUGUUGGCAUCA
This is a long non-coding RNA of Hordeum vulgare subsp. vulgare (domesticated barley), 600 nucleotides long. RefSeq lists it as uncharacterized. The transcript is spliced from 2 exons. Lineage: Eukaryota; Viridiplantae; Streptophyta; Magnoliopsida; Poales; Poaceae. The record is from RefSeq and is a predicted model, not a curated record.